GCCAGACUCCUACGGGAGGCAGCAGUGGGGGAUAUUGCACAAUGGGGGGAACCCUGAUGCAGCGACGCCGCGUGGGUGAAGAAGUAUUUCGGUAUGUAAAGCCCUAUCGGCAGGGAAGAAAUUGGACGGUACCUGACUAAGAAGCCCCGGCUAACUACGUGCCAGCAGCCGCGGUAAUACGUAGGGGGCAAGCGUUAUCCGGAUUCACUGGGCGUAAAGGGAGCGUAGACGGCCAUGCAAGCCUGGAGUGAAAGCCCGGGGCCCAACCCCGGGACUGCUCUGGGAACUGUGCGGCUGGAGUGCGGGAGGGGCAGGCGGAAUUCCUGGUGUAGCGGUGAAAUGCGUAGAUAUCAGGAGGAACACCGGCGGCGAAGGCGGCCUGCUGGACCGCGACUGACGUUGAGGCUCGAAAGCGUGGGGAGCAAACAGGAUUAGAUACCCGCGUAGC
This 448-nucleotide ribosomal RNA is filed under the name uncultured bacterium. RNAcentral's name for it is "bacterial SSU rRNA". It matches the Rfam family "Bacterial small subunit ribosomal RNA", at positions 330 to 794 of the family's 1533-position model. The record is from RNAcentral.